CAUGCAGUCGAACGGUAACAGACCCUUUAUUGGGUGCUGACGAGUGGCGGACGGGUGAGUAACACGUUGGUAUCUGCCUUGAAGAAGGGGACAACCGGUGGAAACGCCGGCUAAUACCCUAUAAACUCUGAGGAGAAAAGGGUUUCAUAAGGAAACUCGCUUGAAGAGGAGCCAGCGGCCUAUCAGCUAGUUGGUGAGGUAAAAGCUCACCAAGGCAACGACGGGUAGGGGGCGUGAGAGCGCGACCCCCCACAAUGGGACUGAGACACGGCCCAUACUCCUACGGGAGGCAGCAGUGAGGAAUAUUGCACAAUGGGGGAAACCCUGAUGCAGCAAUGCCGCGUGGGUGAAGAAGGCUUUCGAGUUGUAAAGCCCUUUUCUGAGUGAAGAGAGAGGACGGUAGCUCAGGAAGAAGUCCCGGCUAACUACGUGCCAGCAGCCGCGGUAAAACGUAGGGGGCAAGCGUUAUCCGGAUUUACUGGGCGUAAAGGGCACGCAGGCGGUUUGGUAAGUUGUGUGUGAAAGCUCUCGGCUCAACUGGGAGAGUGCAGGCAAAACUGCUAAACUAGAGGGUGAAAGAGGGGAGCAGAAUUCCUGGUGUAGUGGUGGAAUGCGUAGAGAUCAGGAGGAAUACCAGAGGCGAAAGCGGCUCCCUGGAUCACAACUGACGCUGAGGUGCGAAAGCGUGGGGAGCGAACGGGAUUAGAUACCCCGGUAGUCCACGCUGUAAACGAUGGGUACUAGGUGUAGGAAGGGGAAACCUUUUUGUGCCAAAGCAAACGCGAUAAGUACCCCGCCUGGGGACUACGGUCGCAAGACUAAAACUCAAAGGAAUUGACGGGGGCCCGCACAAGCAGCGGAGCGUGUGGUUU
This 872-nucleotide ribosomal RNA is filed under the name uncultured bacterium. RNAcentral's name for it is "bacterial SSU rRNA". It matches the Rfam family "Bacterial small subunit ribosomal RNA", at positions 54 to 947 of the family's 1533-position model. The record is from RNAcentral.